This 73-nucleotide transfer RNA is filed under the name Beutenbergia cavernae DSM 12333. Its description in RNAcentral is "tRNA-Lys (TTT) (tRNA-Lys-TTT-1-1)". It matches the Rfam family "tRNA". Rfam says of the family: Transfer RNA (tRNA) molecules are approximately 80 nucleotides in length. Their secondary structure includes four short double-helical elements and three loops (D, anti-codon, and T loops). The record is from Rfam by way of RNAcentral. Lineage: Bacteria; Bacillati; Actinomycetota; Actinomycetes; Micrococcales; Beutenbergiaceae.
GGGCCUCUAGCUCAACUGGCAGAGCAACGGACUUUUAAUCCGUGGGUUCAGGGUUCGAGCCCCUGGGGGCCCA